RNAcentral lists this ribosomal RNA (328 nucleotides) under uncultured eukaryote. RNAcentral's name for it is "partial 18S ribosomal RNA". It matches the Rfam family "Eukaryotic small subunit ribosomal RNA", at positions 1470 to 1796 of the family's 1831-position model. The record is from RNAcentral.
CCCUUAGAUGUCCUGGGCCGCACGCGCGUUACACUGAUGCAUUCAACGAGCCUAUAACCUUGGCCGAGAGGCCUGGGCAAUCUUGUUAACGUGCAUCGUGAUAGGGAUAGAUUAUUGAAAUUAUUAAUCUUGAACGAGGAAUUCCUAGUAAACGCAGAUCAUCAAUCUGCAUUGAUUACGUCCCUGCCCUUUGUACACACCGCCCGUCGCACCUACCGAUUGGAUGGUCCGGUGAAGCCUCGGGAUUGUGGUUCUUGCCGCUUUAUUGUGGCGUGACCGCGAGAACUUGUCUAAACCUUAUCGUCUAGAGGAAGGUGAAGUCGUAACA